Haliotis rubra (blacklip abalone) is the source of this 887-nucleotide long non-coding RNA. RefSeq lists it as uncharacterized. NCBI's taxonomy places the organism in Eukaryota, Metazoa, Mollusca, Gastropoda, Lepetellida, Haliotidae. The record is from RefSeq and is a predicted model, not a curated record. The transcript has 4 exons.
GCUACACCAACAAACAACACGUCUCCCAUGGACUAGGGGUGUCAUAAAUAUCCCAAGCCUAAACUCGAGCCAUCGCCUGUAGAAUUAAAAAACAAAAAGGAAACAAAGAGAGAUUUCUCCUUCUUAUCAUUAAAUGUAUGUGGUCUUAGAACGAAACUCAUCUGCCCGGACUUUAUUAAUUAUAUCUCACAAUAUGACUUUAUUGGACUACAGGAAACCAAGCUGGAUGAUUACGAUAAGAUAGAUAUCCCUGGAUAUAAUGUGUUUAUGAAUAAUAGAAGAGUGCAAAAGAACCUAUGUAAAUCCGGAGGUUUAGCACUUUAUGUUAAAGAAACGCUCUCCCCAUAUGUUGAAAUUCUGGACAAUGACUCUGAAUACGCGCUAUGGUUCAAGAUAAGAAGCACUCUCACCCACGCACAAGAUGCUUAUUUUACUGUGGUCUAUAUCCCCCAGAAAAUUCUCGAUAUUCCUCAAUUGAAAAAAUGGAGACUUUUGAAAAGGAGGUAAUUGAAUUUAGUAAUAUGUCUGAUUUGAUAUGCGUUUUUGGAGACUUUAAUGCUCGCACUAAGACAAUGCCUGACUACAUAACAUAUGAUGCACCCGAUGGAACUGAAAAGGACGAAGAACUGGACCUUUAUAUGAAUAUGAAUCAAGCAUCUACACUACAACAGAACGGUAUCCCACUUACCAGGGUUAACAGUGACAGAAUCUCUAACAACUAUGGACACAGACUUAUCAAACUGUGCAUAGCUAAUAAUUUAUUCAUUGUAAACGGACGACUCGGCAGUGACUCUGAGAAAGGCAAUUUUACCUCGAAAGAUUGUGCUGUCGUGGACUAUUUUAUAUGCAGUAGUGAACUACUAAAACUUGCAACGAUUUUUAAAGUA